RNAcentral lists this ribosomal RNA (257 nucleotides) under uncultured prokaryote. Its description in RNAcentral is "partial 16S ribosomal RNA". It matches the Rfam family "Bacterial small subunit ribosomal RNA", at positions 524 to 780 of the family's 1533-position model. The record is from RNAcentral.
UACGUAGGUGGCAAGCGUUGUCCGGAAUCAUUGGGCGUAAAGAGCGCGUAGGUGGCUUGUCAGGUCCGAUGUGAAAACCUGGGGCUCAACUCCAGGCCUGCAUCGGAAACCGGCUUGCUAGAGUCUGGGAGAGGAGAGUGGAAUUCCUGGUGUAGCGGUGAAAUGCGCAGAUAUCAGGAGGAACACCGGUAGCGAAGGCGGCUCUCUGGAACAGUACUGACGCUGAGGCGCGAAAGCUAGGGGAGCGAACAGGAUUA